GAUGAACGCUGGCGGCGUGCCUAAUACAUGCAAGUCGAGCGAACAGACGAGGAGCUUGCUCCUCUGACGUUAGCGGCGGACGGGUGAGUAACACGUGGAUAACCUACCUAUAAGACUGGGAUAACUUCGGGAAACCGGAGCUAAUACCGGAUAAUAUAUUGAACCGCAUGGUUCAAUAGUGAAAGACGGUUUUGCUGUCACUUAUAGAUGGAUCCGCGCCGCAUUAGCUAGUUGGUAAGGUAACGGCUUACCAAGGCGACGAUGCGUAGCCGACCUGAGAUGGUGAUCGGCCCCCCUGGAACUGAGACACGGUCCAGACUCCUACGGGAGGCAGCAGAAGGGAAUCUUCCGCAAUGGGCGAAAGCCUGACGGAGCCACGCCGCGUGAGUGAUGAAGGUCUUCGGAUCGUAAAACUCUGUUAUUAGGGAAGAACAAAUGUGUAAGUAACUAUGCACUUCUUGACGGUACCUAAUCAGAAAGCCACGGCUAACUACGUG
Molecule: ribosomal RNA, 497 nt
Filed under: uncultured bacterium
Lineage: Bacteria
Description: partial 16S ribosomal RNA
Rfam family: Bacterial small subunit ribosomal RNA
Source: RNAcentral